Molecule: ribosomal RNA, 250 nt
Filed under: uncultured bacterium
Lineage: Bacteria
Description: partial 16S ribosomal RNA
Rfam family: Bacterial small subunit ribosomal RNA
Source: RNAcentral
UGGAUACUAGGUGUGGGAGGUAUUGACCCCUUCCGUGCCGGAGUUAACACAAUAAGUAUCCCACCUGGGGAGUACGGCCGCAAGGUUGAAACUCAAAGGAAUUGACGGGGGCCCGCACAAGCAGUGGAGUAUGUGGUUUAAUUCGAAGCAACGCGAAGAACCUUACCAGGUCUUGACAUGGGGAUGACCGGUACAGAGAUGUACCUUUCCUUCGGGACAUCCCACACAGGUGGUGCAUGGCUGUCGUCAG